UGUUUUUUCCUCAAAGCUGAUUGGUUCUCUUGUAUGAGCCCGCAUUUAUUGAGAUAGAUGGCUACCCAACGGCACCGAUCACAACCUUUAAUUCUCAUUUAAUCUAUCAUCUGGAAGAUUAUUCUGCUACCACGAUUCUUCUAAUUUCUUAAAUCGCCAAAAUUUUGGGAGGAUUCAAGUUGAAUUUGUGUUCUUGUAAUUUUCAGCUAGGGAAGGGUGAUGAUUGUGAUUGCCCAUUUGAAGCUAGUUCAGUUUCAUUUAGCGUCUAAAGAUGUUUCUUCGCCGCCGUACAAAUCUCGUUAUAGUUCUUACGAUCUUGAUGGCGUGCACAGCAAGAGCGCAAAACGUCACCUGCAAUAGGCAAUGCGGGAAGCAGAGUCUUCAGUUCCCUUUCGGGUUCUCCGAGGGUUGUGAAAUCAGACUAAACUGUUUCGACAACCAAGUCCAAAUUUACGAAUUUCUGGUCCAAAACGUUACCGACAGCAACAUAUUCGUCAACCUCCCUGGAAAAUGCAACCGCAGAAUGGAAUCCAUUGAGCCACUUUUCCAAAGCAAUUUUGCUCCCUCGGUUAACAACAGCUUUUUGGUGCAAAAUUGCAGCGAGCAGUUUGGUGGGUGCGUUAUUCCUGCUUCGAAUUUUGGGGAAAGCUGCGAUAAGAAAAGUGGUAAUAUCAGUUGCUUUUCGAAACAAGAUGGGGCGGAUGUUGUGAAAUACACAGAUUUGAAUGGAACUAAGUGUAAGUACUUGUUCUCUGCGGUUUCUUUUGGGCAGAGCCAUGAGACUGUGCUGCAGUUUCAGAUGGUCGAGUUGGGGUGGUGGCUUCAUGGAC
RNAcentral lists this long non-coding RNA (830 nucleotides) under Phaseolus vulgaris (common bean). RNAcentral describes it as "long non-coding RNA (PVUL_LNC004301)". Lineage: Eukaryota; Viridiplantae; Streptophyta; Magnoliopsida; Fabales; Fabaceae. The record is from RNAcentral.